UAGAACUUUUUCUGUUCUCUUACCAUUCAUAAAAUGACAUAUUUUGUGAAUUAUUCCUUAGUAAAUACCAUAACAACUUGUAAGUAGUUUAUUGGAAUUUUAAGGUUAAAAUGCCAUAAAGUUUUACAUUUCGUAUUCAGACUUGCUCUUUGGGUAGUUUCAGAACAGAGUCAAAUUUACAACAGGUCUUCUGGAAUAGGACUCUGGUUCUAUUUUGUUGCUUUCUGGGAACAGGGCCAUGAUUAAAAGGGAUGGGGGCAUUCAUACUGUGCGGCUAGAGGCGAAAUUCUUGAACUGGAGUAAGGCGGCCUAGAGUGAAAGCAUUUGCUGAGAAUGCUUUCAUUAAUGAAGAAUUAGAGCCAGAGGUUCAAACAUGAUCAGAUACUGUCGUAGUUCUGAUGAUAAAUGAUGCCAACUGGCAAUAAAGUUUUUUGAAGGAGUCUCUGUGGUGCAGUCGGUUAGUGUGUUCGGCU
RNAcentral lists this non-coding RNA (473 nucleotides) under Tauraco erythrolophus (red-crested turaco). RNAcentral's name for it is "Eukaryotic small subunit ribosomal RNA". It matches the Rfam family "Eukaryotic small subunit ribosomal RNA", at positions 635 to 1113 of the family's 1831-position model. Lineage: Eukaryota; Metazoa; Chordata; Aves; Musophagiformes; Musophagidae. The record is from Rfam by way of RNAcentral.